UGAAAAGCCUCUAAGCUUCAGUUACAAAGAGACCGUACCGCAAACCGACACAGGUGGGCAGGAUGAGAAUUCUAAGGCGCUUGAGAGAACUCAGGAGAAGGAACUCGGCAAAUUAGCACCGUAACUUCGGGAGAAGGUGCGCCCUGGUAGCGUGAAAGCCCUCGCGGCUGGAGCGUGAAAGGGUUGCAGUGAAAUGGUGGCUGCGACCGUUUAAUAAAAACACAGCACUCUGCAAACACGAUAGUGGACGUAUAGGGUGUGACGCCUGCCCGGUGCCGGAAGGUUAAGUGAUGGGGUGCAAGCUCUUGAUCGAAGCCCCGGUAAACGGCGGCCGUAACAAUAACGGUCCUAAGGUAGCGAAAUUCCUUGUCGGGUAAGUUCCGACCUGCACGAAUGGCGUAACGAUGGCCACACUGUCUCCUCCUGAGACUCAGCGAAGUUGAAAUGUUUGUGAAGAUGCAAUCUCCCCGCGGCAAGACGGAAAGACCCCAUGAACCUUUACAGUAGCUUUGCAUUGGACUUUGAACCGGUCUGUGUAGGAUAGGUGGGAGGCUUUGAAGCUGGGACGCUAGUUCUGGUGGAGCCAACCUUGAAAUACCACCCUGGUUUGUUUGAGGUUCUAACCAUGGCCCGUGAAUCCGGGUCUGGGACCGUGCAUGGUAGGCAGUUUGACUGGGGCGGUCUCCUCCCAAAGUGUAACGGAGGAGUACGAAGGUACGCUAGGUACGGUCGGACAUCGUGCUAAUAGUGCAAUGGCAUAAGCGUGCUUGACUGCGAGACCCACAAGUCGAGCAGGUACGAAAGUAGGUCAUAGUGAUCCGGUGGUUCUGUAUGGAAGGGCCAUCGCUCAACGGAUAAAAGGUACUCUGGGGAUAACAGGCUGAUACCGCCCAAGAGUUCAUAUCGACGGCGGUGUUUGGCACCUCGAUGUCGGCUCAUCACAUCCUGGGGCUGUAGCCGGUCCCAAGGGUAUGGCUGUUCGCCAUUUAAAGUGGUACGUGAGCUGGGUUUAAAACGUCGUGAGACAGUUUGGUCCCUAUCUGCCGUGGGCGCUGGAAAUUUGAAGGGACCUGCUCCUAGUACGAGAGGACCGGAGUGGACGAACCUCUGGUGUACCGGUUAUGACGCCAGUCGUAUCGCCGGGUAGCUAAGUUCGGAAGAGAUAAACGCUGAAAGCAUCUAAGCGUGAAACUCGCCUUAAGAUAAGAUUUCCCUGGGGACUUGAUCCCCCUGAAGGGUCGUCGAAGACCACGACGUUGAUAGGCUGGGUGUGGAAGCGCAGCAAUGCGUUAAGCUAACCAGUACUAAUUGC
Molecule: ribosomal RNA, 1312 nt
Filed under: metagenome
Description: bacterial LSU rRNA
Rfam family: Bacterial large subunit ribosomal RNA
Source: RNAcentral